Molecule: ribosomal RNA, 523 nt
Filed under: uncultured bacterium
Lineage: Bacteria
Description: bacterial SSU rRNA
Rfam family: Bacterial small subunit ribosomal RNA
Source: RNAcentral
GGUCAGGACGAACGCUGGCGGCGUGCCUAAUACAUGCAAGUCGAACGGUCUUUCUAUGGAAGCUUGCUUCCACUGAGAAGAUAGUGGCGAACGGGUGAGUAACACGUGGGUAACCUGCCCAUAAGAGGGGGAUAACAUCCGGAAACGGGUGCUAAUACCGCAUAGUUUUCUUGAUCGCAUGAUUGAGAAAGGAAAGACGGCCUUUGUGCUGUCGCUUAUGGAUGGACCCGCGGCGUAUUAGUUAGUUGGUGAGGUAAUGGCUCACCAAGACGAUGAUACGUAGCCGACCUGAGAGGGUGAUCGGCCACAUUGGGACUGAGACACGGCCCAAACUCCUACGGGAGGCAGCAGUAGGAAAUCUUCCGCAAUGGACGAAAGUCUGACGGAGCAACGCCGCGUGAGUGAAAGAAGGUUUUCGGAUCGUAAAACUCUGUUGUCAGAGAAGAACAAGUUGGAGAGUAACUGCUCCAGCCUUGACGGUAUCUGACCAGAAAGCCACGGCUAACUACGUGCCAGCCGCCGC